UUGAACGCUGGCGGCAGGCCUAACACAUGCAAGUCGAGCGGAUGAAGGGAGCUUGCUCCUGGAUUCAGCGGCGGACGGGUGAGUAAUGCCUAGGAAUCUGCCUGGUAGUGGGGGAUAACGUCCGGAAACGGGCGCUAAUACCGCAUACGUCCUGAGGGAGAAAGUGGGGGAUCUUCGGACCUCACGCUAUCAGAUGAGCCUAGGUCGGAUUAGCUAGUUGGUGGGGUAAAGGCCUACCAAGGCGACGAUCCGUAACUGGUCUGAGAGGAUGAUCAGUCACACUGGAACUGAGGCACGGUCCAGACUCCUACGGGAGGCAGCAGUGGGGAAUAUUGGACAAUGGGCGAAAGCCUGAUCCAGCCAUGCCGCGUGUGUGAAGAAGGUCUUCGGAUUGUAAAGCACUUUAAGUUGGGAGGAAGGGCAGUAAGUUAAUACCUUGCUGUUUUGACGUUACCAACAGAAUAAGCACCGGCUAACUUCGUG
This 483-nucleotide ribosomal RNA is filed under the name uncultured bacterium. RNAcentral's name for it is "partial 16S ribosomal RNA". It matches the Rfam family "Bacterial small subunit ribosomal RNA", at positions 30 to 507 of the family's 1533-position model. The record is from RNAcentral.